CAGUCGCCGCGGUAAUACCGGCAGCACGAGUGAUGACCGCUAUUAUUGGGCCUAAAGCGUCCGUAGCUGGCCACGCAAGUCCGUCGGGAAAUCCGCGCGCUUAACGCGCGGGCGUCCGGUGGAAACUGUGUGGCUUGGGACCGGAAGAUCCAGAGGGUACGUCCGGGGUAGGAGUGAAAUCCCGUAAUCCUGGACGGACCACCGGUGGCGAAAGCGCUCUGGAAAGACGGAUCCGACGGUGAGGGACGAAAGCUCGGGUCACGAACCGGAUUAGAUACCCCCGUAGUCCCUGUCUCUUAUA
RNAcentral lists this ribosomal RNA (301 nucleotides) under uncultured bacterium. RNAcentral's name for it is "partial 16S ribosomal RNA". It matches the Rfam family "Archaeal small subunit ribosomal RNA", at positions 459 to 759 of the family's 1478-position model. The record is from RNAcentral.